AAAUUGAAGAGUUUGAUCAUGGCUCAGAUUGAACGCUGGCGGCAGGCCUAACACAUGCAAGUCGAGCGGUAGCACAGAGAGCUUGCUCUCGGGUGACGAGCGGCGGACGGGUGAGUAAUGUCUGGGAAACUGCCUGAUGGAGGGGGAUAACUACUGGAAACGGUAGCUAAUACCGCAUAAUGUCGCAAGACCAAAGUGGGGGACCUUCGGGCCUCAUGCCAUCAGAUGUGCCCAGAUGGGAUUAGCUAGUAGGUGGGGUAAUGGCUCACCUAGGCGACGAUCCUAGCUGGUCUGAGAGGAUGACCAGCCACACUGGAACUGAGACACGGUCCAGACUCCUACGGGAGGCAGCAGUGGGGAAUAUUGCACAAUGGGCGCAAGCCUGAUGCAGCCAUGCCGCGUGUGUGAAGAAGGCCUUCGGGUUGUAAAGCACUUUCAGCGGGGAGGAAGGCGAUAAGGUUAAUAACCUUGGCGAUUGACGUUACCCGCAGAAGAAGCACCGGCUAACUCCGUGCCAGCAGCCGCGGUAAUACGGAGGGUGCAAGCGUUAAUCGGAAUUACUGGGCGUAAAGCGCACGCAGGCGGUCUGUCAAGUCGGAUGUGAAAUCCCCGGGCUCAACCUGGGAACUGCAUUCGAAACUGGCAGGCUAGAGUCUUGUAGAGGGGGGUAGAAUUCCAGGUGUAGCGGUGAAAUGCGUAGAGAUCUGGAGGAAUACCGGUGGCGAAGGCGGCCCCCUGGACAAAGACUGACGCUCAGGUGCGAAAGCGUGGGGAGCAAACAGGAUUAGAUACCCUGGUAGUCCACGCCGUAAACGAUGUCGAUUUGGAGGUUGUGCCCUUGAGGCGUGGCUUCCGGAGCUAACGCGUUAAAUCGACCGCCUGGGGAGUACGGCCGCAAGGUUAAAACUCAAAUGAAUUGACGGGGGCCCGCACAAGCGGUGGAGCAUGUGGUUUAAUUCGAUGCAACGCGAAGAACCUUACCUGGUCUUGACAUCCACAGAACUUAGCAGAGAUGCUUUGGUGCCUUCGGGAACUGUGAGACAGGUGCUGCAUGGCUGUCGUCAGCUCGUGUUGUGAAAUGUUGGGUUAAGUCCCGCAACGAGCGCAACCCUUAUCCUUUGUUGCCAGCGGUUAGGCCGGGAACUCAAAGGAGACUGCCAGUGAUAAACUGGAGGAAGGUGGGGAUGACGUCAAGUCAUCAUGGCCCUUACGACCAGGGCUACACACGUGCUACAAUGGCAUAUACAAAGAGAAGCGACCUCGCGAGAGCAAGCGGACCUCAUAAAGUAUGUCGUAGUCCGGAUUGGAGUCUGCAACUCGACUCCAUGAAGUCGGAAUCGCUAGUAAUCGUAGAUCAGAAUGCUACGGUGAAUACGUUCCCGGGCCUUGUACACACCGCCCGUCACACCAUGGGAGUGGGUUGCAAAAGAAGUAGGUAGCUUAACCUUCGGGAGGGCGCUUACCACUUUGUGAUUCAUGACUGGGGUGAAGUCGUAACAAGGUAACCGUAGGGGAACCUGCGGUUGGAUCACCUCCUUACCUUAAAGAA
RNAcentral lists this ribosomal RNA (1549 nucleotides) under Klebsiella pneumoniae. RNAcentral describes it as "bacterial SSU rRNA". It matches the Rfam family "Bacterial small subunit ribosomal RNA". The record is from RNAcentral. Lineage: Bacteria; Pseudomonadati; Pseudomonadota; Gammaproteobacteria; Enterobacterales; Enterobacteriaceae.